Cheilinus undulatus (humphead wrasse) is the source of this 71-nucleotide non-coding RNA. The record is from the annotation of a RefSeq genome assembly. Lineage: Eukaryota; Metazoa; Chordata; Actinopteri; Labriformes; Labridae.
GGCUCGUUGGUCUAGGGGUAUGACUCUUGCUUUAAAAGUAGAGGUCCCGGGUUCAAAUCCCGGACGAGCCC